This 506-nucleotide ribosomal RNA is filed under the name uncultured bacterium. RNAcentral's name for it is "partial 16S ribosomal RNA". It matches the Rfam family "Bacterial small subunit ribosomal RNA", at positions 29 to 523 of the family's 1533-position model. The record is from RNAcentral.
AUUGAACGCUGGCGGCAGGCCUAACACAUGCAAGUCGAACGGCAGCACAGAAGAGCUUGCUCUUUGGGUGGCGAGUGGCGGACGGGUGAGUAAUGUCUGGGAAACUGCCCGAUGGAGGGGGAUAACUACUGGAAACGGUAGCUAAUACCGCAUAACGUCGCGAGACCAAAGUGGGGGACCUUCGGGCCUCACACCAUCGGAUGUGCCCAAAUGGGAUUAGCUAGUAGGUGGGGUAAUGGCUCACCUAGGCGACGAUCCCUAGCUGGUCUGAGAGGAUGACCAGCCACACUGGAACUGAGACACGGUCCAGACUCCUACGGGAGGCAGCAGUGGGGAAUAUUGCACAAUGGGCGCAAGCCUGAUGCAGCCAUGCCGCGUGUAUGAAGAAGGCCUUCGGGUUGUAAAGUACUUUCAGCGGGGAGGAAGGCGGUGAGGUUAAUAACCUCGCCGAUUGACGUUACCCGCAGAAGAAGCACCGGCUAACUCCGCGCCAGCCGCCGCAGUAA